This 378-nucleotide unclassified non-coding RNA is filed under the name plant metagenome. Its description in RNAcentral is "partial contains 5.8S ribosomal RNA, internal transcribed spacer 2, and large subunit ribosomal RNA". The stretch from base 1 to 105 matches the Rfam family "5.8S ribosomal RNA", at positions 50 to 154 of the family's 154-position model. The record is from RNAcentral.
GAAAUGCGAUAAGUAAUGUGAAUUGCAGAAUUCAGUGAAUCAUUGAAUCUUUGAACACACCUUGCGCUCCUUGGUAUUCCUUGGAGCAUGCCUGUUUGAGUAUCAUGAAAUCUUCAAAGUAAAUCUUUUGUUAACUCAAUUGGUUUCUACUUUGGUAUUGGAGGUCUUUGCAGCUUCACACCUGCUCCUCUUUGUUCAUUAGCUGGAUCUCAGUGUUAUGCUUGGUUCCACUCGGCGUGAUAAGUUAUCUAUCGCUGAGGACACUGUAAAAGGUGGCCAAGGUAAAUGCAGAUGAACCGCUUCUAAUAGUCCAUUGACUUGGACAAUACUUUUAUGAUCUGAUCUCAAAUCAGGUAGGACUACCCGCUGAACUUAAGC